This 653-nucleotide long non-coding RNA is filed under the name Phasianus colchicus (ring-necked pheasant). RNAcentral's name for it is "lncRNA (ENSPCLG00000001769.1)". The record is from RNAcentral. Lineage: Eukaryota; Metazoa; Chordata; Aves; Galliformes; Phasianidae.
GACUGGGAUAGAAAGAAAUUGCUCACUGCCUGUCAUAGGCAGUCAUUGCCCAGCAGAUCUGGUGGUGCUGAAAGCUGUGCCCUCCUGGAGCACUAUGGCAGUCACCACUUUCCUGGCGAUGCCUCCACUGAACAAAUCUAUGAAAACUACCGACAGAUUCACACAACUGCUAAAUGGAGUGAAGUCAGUGGAAGAGACUUGACAAGUUGGUGGCAAUGCUGUAAAUUAAAACCUGCAGGCAGUGAAUCCUGUCAAUUCUCUGUGGCUAGAAUGGUGAUUGCUUUUCAACAUCAAGCAGUGUAUUUAGCAGCUGAAAAAUGUGUUUCCUUCGUGUACUCUGCAGAUUAUUGAGUGAAGAAUUUCAGGGUACUUACUGACAACAGAUGGCAAAGUAACAAUCGAGUAUCCACCACUUGAGAAAAUGACCGGGUAUCAACUAUGGGAUAAAAUCCAUCUAAAAGAAAAUGGGACAUCCAAAAGAUGGGACCUUCAGCAGUUACAACAAGCUCCUAAAUGUCUUUCCAGAAAGAUUAAACUGAAUCUAUUCACAAUCUGACAUGAGUUACAUGUGAGUCAGUCCAAGUUAUCUGCAGCACUGAUGGAUGCCACCUCCACUUUACUGAAGUCAAUAAAGAAAACAAAAUAGAAAGGAA